Molecule: non-coding RNA, 202 nt
Filed under: Porphyromonas sp. COT-108 OH1349
Lineage: Bacteria; Pseudomonadati; Bacteroidota; Bacteroidia; Bacteroidales; Porphyromonadaceae
Description: Bacterial small subunit ribosomal RNA
Rfam family: Bacterial small subunit ribosomal RNA
Source: Rfam by way of RNAcentral
ACAAAGAAGAGUUUGAUCCUGGCUCAGGAUGAACGCUAGCGAUAGGCUUAACACAUGCAAGUCGAGGGGCAGCAUAAAGUCAGCUUGCUGAUUUGGAUGGCGACCGGCGGAUGGGUGCGUAACGCGUAUGCAACUUACCUGUCAGAGGGGGAUAACCCGGAGAAAUUCGGACUAAUACCGCAUACACUUGAGAUGCUGCAUG